UACGUAGGGUGCGAGCGUUGUCCGGAAUUACUGGGCGUAAAGAGCUCGUAGGUGGUUUGUCGCGUUGUCCGUGAAAACUCACAGCUUAACUGUGGGCGUGCGGGCGAUACGGGCAGACUGGAGUACUGCAGGGGAGACUGGAAUUCCUGGUGUAGCGGUGAAAUGCGCAGAUAUCAGGAAGAACACCCGUGGCUAAGGCGGCUCUCUAGUACGUGACUGACGCUGAGACGCGAAAGCGUGGGGAGCGAACAGG
Molecule: ribosomal RNA, 253 nt
Filed under: uncultured bacterium
Lineage: Bacteria
Description: partial 16S ribosomal RNA
Rfam family: Bacterial small subunit ribosomal RNA
Source: RNAcentral